UCAAGCUUGAUGGGAUGAAACAGUUAAGGAAUGGACAUUCUCAGAAGAAGCUGCGUUGGUGGCAAAACCUUCGACCGCACCGGAGAGUGAGGCUGAAAAAGAAAGGCCGAGUUAAAAUGGGGUUUAUGAGCCAAAAAUCACUAAAGAACUAUUGAGUUUGGGUGCACGUUGGAAUUUCUCACCUUGCAUCUACCUUCUUCUGGCUCAUGGUAUUCAAGCUCCUAUCAGAUAUGCAGAAGAGGUAUAUCCUCUGAUUUUUCUUCAAUUUUGGCUCUGUCGAAUGGACGCUUGUGAUGCUUGAAAUUCAAUAGAUAUGGACCUGGUGAUGCAGGAUUUUGUUAGUGACUGCAUGGUGAUUCUGCAUUUUGUAAGUGCUUUGUGAUCCUGGAUUUUACUAAUAUGUGCAAUGCACCAUAAUACUGGAUAUACUUGUAUUUUUUAGAACUCAGCACUAUAGCAGAGUCCUUGCCUUCUUUGUUUAUUUGAAAUUUUCGUUUCUCAACUAAAGGUUUUGGGGUACUAUUAGAACCUGGCAUUAGAUAUUAACUUAGCUUUCCACAGAGACAGAUCAAAUAUUUGAAGUUGCUUUCAUGUUUCUCUUAACCAGCGUUGAGUGUUGCAUAUUUUACUUAAUAUCCUAAAAUCUCGUUUUAGGUAGCAUAUCAACUUCACCUUUGGUCUAGACCACUCCUUCGGAGUUCAUUUAAAGUUGGUAACAGGAUCUCUCUUGAUAAUUUAUACUCUAGACACCCUUUUUCUCUAACCGGUACAAUUAUGUUCUAAUUUCCCAAGUUGAUACCAAAUUGUGGUUUGAAAGAACAUAAACAAUAGUUUAAUAGUCUAAUGGCACUGCUUAGUACCCUAGUUUCAUACGGUGUCAACUCUGACCACUUAGUCUACGGAAGAAAGAUGCAUCUUUUUUUUGUGUCUCUAUUUAUUUACUGGUCUUUUUCUUGAGUUGUUGCGUAUUAGGUCUCUAGGCUGUUCUAAGAUUGCUAGCAGAACCAUAAAGGGUGUUAAGCAAAUGAGAAUACAGAUAGUAACUUUUCCAUGAUUCAUAAUUGUUGGAAGAAACAGAUAACAGGGUAAGCUUUUUAAUAUCAUAUUAUUUUAUGCUUCAAAAGGCUAAUAAUCUGAACCUGUUCUUAUAUUAAUAUAGCAUGUCUUCUUUUGGACAAAUAACAAACAGACUAAAAGAGAUAUACACUUUAGAGAAAAAUGCAUAGGAUUAUUAACUCCCAAUCAUUGUGUGACACUAACAUAACAUGUAAUUCUAUUUGAAGCAGCAAAAAAUAAAUACAAAAGACUGGAAACAAGUGAUUAUUAACUUUGCAUACAUGUUUAUAAAAGUGCAGCUGGUGGAGAAAGGAAUAAAAGUACACAUGCUUAAUUUUGAGGAUCAUGUGUAUAAGCUGUUGCUUGAAGGCUGGGUUUCA
This 1436-nucleotide long non-coding RNA is filed under the name Glycine max (soybean). Its description in RNAcentral is "long non-coding RNA (GMAX_LNC003778)". Lineage: Eukaryota; Viridiplantae; Streptophyta; Magnoliopsida; Fabales; Fabaceae. The record is from RNAcentral.